Non-coding RNA from Phrynosoma platyrhinos (Desert horned lizard), 72 nucleotides. The record is from the annotation of a GenBank genome assembly. Lineage: Eukaryota; Metazoa; Chordata; Lepidosauria; Squamata; Phrynosomatidae.
GCCACUGUGAUGUAGUGGUUUGGAUGCUAGACUAGGACCCUGGAUAUCAGGGUUCAAAUCCCUACUCAGCCA